RNAcentral lists this ribosomal RNA (589 nucleotides) under uncultured bacterium. RNAcentral describes it as "partial 16S ribosomal RNA". It matches the Rfam family "Bacterial small subunit ribosomal RNA", at positions 355 to 1375 of the family's 1533-position model. The record is from RNAcentral.
UGGGGAAUUUUGGACAAUGGGCGAAAGCCUGAUCCAGCAAUGCCGCGUGUGUGAAGAAGGCCUUCGGGUUGUAAAGCACUUUUGUCCGGAAAGAAAUCCUUGGCUCUAAUACAGUCGGGGGAUGACGGUACCGGAAGAAUAAGCACCGGCUAACUACGUGCCAGCAGCCGCGGUAAUACGUAGGGUGCAAGCGUUAAUCGGAAUUACUGGGCGUAAAGCGUGCGCAGGCGGUUUGCUAAGACCGAUGUGAAAUCCCCGGGCUCAACCUGGGAACUGCAUUGGUGACUGGCAGGCUAGAGUAUGGCAGAGGGGGGUAGAAUUCCACGUGUAGCAGUGAAAUGCGUAGAGAUGUGGAGGAAUACCGAUGGCGAAGGCAGCCCCCUGGGCCAAUACUGACGCUCAUGCACGAAAGCGUGGGGAGCAAAACAGGAUUAGAUACCCUGGUAGUCCACGCCCUAAAACGAUGUCAACUAGUUGUUGGGGGAUUCAUUUUCCUUAGUAACGUAGCUAACGCGUGAAGUUGACCGCCUGGGGAGUACGGUCGCAAGAUUAAAACUCAAAGGAAUUGACGGGGUCAUAGCUGUUUCCU